GCCCGGAUGGCGGAAUUGGCAGACGCAGGGGACUUAAAAUCCCCAGGUCGAAAGGCUGUGAGGGUUCAAACCCCUCUCCGGGCACCA
This 87-nucleotide transfer RNA is filed under the name Desulfovibrionaceae bacterium. Its description in RNAcentral is "tRNA-Leu". It matches the Rfam family "tRNA". From Rfam's summary of the family: Transfer RNA (tRNA) molecules are approximately 80 nucleotides in length. Their secondary structure includes four short double-helical elements and three loops (D, anti-codon, and T loops). RNAcentral also lists the same sequence under 1 other name. The record is from RNAcentral. Lineage: Bacteria; Pseudomonadati; Thermodesulfobacteriota; Desulfovibrionia; Desulfovibrionales; Desulfovibrionaceae.